CCAGGAAGCUGUAUCACGGGAUGACAGCGUCACAUUUGGAUUAUUGUUGCUUCCUGAAAGAAGAAGGCGAGUGGCUUUCUACAGUUUCUUAAAUCAUGAGCUACUUUCCAUUUACACACAAGUGAGACUGAGUCUGAAGUGAGCCGAGUAUUUCAUACUCUGAUUAAUGACAUAAUUUGUUUAACUUGAUUAUAAAUAAAAAGUCAGUUGAGUCUCACUUGUCAGAAUGCAAAAGGAACAUUCAUUCAACUGACUUAUGACAUCACAAGUGAAAAUUAUCUAAGAAUCAGUACAAAUGGAAAGCAACUAUAAUUAACUAAGCUUUAAGUAAGCCUAUAAAAAAAUUUGAUCAAUCUUAGUCGAUUAUUCUUCUCACAUUCAACUGUGACUGGUCAAUUUCUUACUGCUUAAAACUUAAAGCUUGAGUAACGGCUUAUUGUAGAAGCUCCAUUGCCGCGAAGGAAUCGCGAGUUGCCACAGUAAAAUUGUCGUGGAUCGCUGUGGAGAACGAUUGACAACUGUUUUCUCUAUUAACAAGGACAAUCGGCGAAAAUAGAAACAGGAUGGAAGAUAGCGGCGCGACGGAGUGUCACGUGACCAUAAUUAUUCGAGAUGGUAUCGAGUGUCACGUGACCACGAUUGACCGAGAUGGUAUCCGUGGGGCUCCGUGAGGGACACCGUCGAUUGGUGGCGCCACCGAUAGCAAGCAAGGUUGGCAUUCCACGAAGAGGAAAGCAAGCUUUCUGGUGUGGAAUCGAGCUGAAUCGAAUAAAGUUGAGUCAGUAAAUAAUUUGAUUGACACUGUGACGCUGCAUUUACUAACGUUAGCGAUCUGCUAGGCCGCAUUGGUGGCUCGCGGUCCGUUUUUCGAGGGUGAUUAAGUGUAAUUAGGAAUACAAAAGCAUCAUAUCCUGGAAUCUCAUUACAAGCAAAUUACUGGGAGAAUCUAUCCAGAUACUAGAAGCAGCUACUUGGAUUAUUGGAUACCUUGAAUUAUUACUAGUAUGCAGCAGUUUUUAUCAUUAUAGGUGAUGACCAAAAUGGCGUCCCAUGAGAGCAGCGAAGAUUCGAGAAAAUCGCCCAUUGCAGACAAAGUAAAUACGACAAUAGAGACGAUAACAACGAACGAGAUAAAAUCAACUGCUUCACCGCCAGUUGAUUCGCAUGAUGAGCUGAAUGAAACUGCUGAUACAAAAGAAAAGAGUUUAACAUUAGAUACAACUGCUGAUUGUACAAGCGUGGAGAAAAAUGAUUCUGAUGAUAUAAAAAGUGAAACUACCAAGGAUUUAAAAUCAUUGGUAAUUGAUAAGCAGGAUGAUACUAAGAUGGACAAGAAGCAAGAGACACAAAAUGUAGAUUCCCUUGUAGAACCUCAAACUACAGAUAAAGAAAAGGAAGUUAAGAGCGUAGAUAGCAAAAAUUCUGUAAAAAAAGGAGAAACUUUAAAACGAAAACGAAGAACUUUAAACAAAUCGACGAUGGUGGAAUCUUCUAAUUCUUCGACGGAGGAAAGUGGCACGAGAGGUAAGAGAAAGAAAUUUAUGAAGACUGGUUACGAUCGAUUUUGUUGGCGAUGUCACAAGGAGAAUAUUGAUGCCUACUGUACCGCCUGUCCUCGCUCGUAUCAUCGUAAAUGUAUAGGAGGUAUGCCAUCAUCUUUGGACAAGUGGAUAUGUGGGGAAUGUGCGACCAUUUUGAAAGCAGAAAACGCCGAGACGCGUUCCGUAGCCAUGGCACAAUUAUCAAUCGAUCAAUUGUGCAUGUUGCUCAAGCAUGUGGUUGAAAAGUUACGCGACUAUCCCGGCUCUGAGCCAUUUUGCAAACCGGUGGAUCUCGUAGAAGUACCGAACUACCUAGAAUAUGUUAUCAAGCCUAUGGACUUGAGCCUUUUGGAAUCGAAUGUGCGAGCUAAGCUUUACGGCAGUACCGAUGCGUUUAUGGCCGAUGCAAAAUGGAUUCAACAUAACUGUAUUGUGUUCAAUACGUGCGGUGGGGUUUACGCAGAUACAUCGAAACUGACAAACGCAGCGAAGCAGAUCAUCAAAGUAGCACGUCAAGAAAUCUCAGAAAUUGAUGCAUGUCCCGAUUGCUAUGCACAUAGUCGAAAUUUGCCAAGGCAUCAACCUUCGUGGUUCAUUGAGCCCUGCCGUCGACCUCAUCCACUUGUGUGGGCCAAAUUAAAGGGUUUUCCGUUUUGGCCGGCAAAAGCAAUGCCUCGUACGAAUUCUCAAGGAUACGUAGAUGUGCGUUUCUUUGGUGAACACGACCGCGCCUGGGUGUCGCCGAAGGACCUUUUCUUGUAUUCUGAAGAGCCACCAUCACCAUCUCCUCGUAAACGAAAAUCCGACAUGGAUGAGUGCGUAAAAGAAAUUACUCGACAUUGUAGAAAACUCGCGCUUAUGUUUGGCCAGUUCAAAUUUGCUCCACCCAAAAUUCAGUACGACCCGAACAAUCCGUUGCAGAUACGACUGAUGCUACCGAAUUACAAUCCCCUCGAACCUAAGAACCAUCUUCCCAAUCCCAAAGUUCCCACAUCUCAAAAGAAGAAAUCGCCACAAAAAAGACAAAGUUCUUUUAAAGGUAAAUCACAGAGUGACGAAUUGACUAACAUUAGUGAAAUAGAUAUUGAUCCGACAAGUGAUGCUUGUGAAAAGGAGAACGAAGCAACAUCGCCAAAAGUACAAAAAUUAAAUACUGAUGUUAAAGAUACUUCAAGCUCGCAAACUGAUGAUAGUAAUAAGUUGAAUAAAAAAGCAAAUCAAGAAACUGUAAAGUCAAACUCUCAAGAAGUUGCUCAAAACAAAACGAUAAAAAAUGGAAAAUCAAGUAAUGCGAAGACAUCAACUUCUCGAUUAAACGUUGUGCAUACAGAAACAGAUGCUGAAAAUAAUAGCAUAAAUCCUAAUGCUAGUAUCUCAAAUAAUAGCCUAAGUCCUAAUACUAAUAUCUCAAACAAUAACAUAAGUUUUAAUGUUAGUAUUUCAAAUAGUAGCACAAGUCCUAAUGUUAGUACCUUAAGUAAUAGCAUAAAUUCUAAUGCUAGUAUCUCAAAUGAGAAUAAUUCACAGAAACCGAAAAAUGAAAUGAAAUCGUUUAUAAAAAUUUUGCCUAAACCUGCAAUUUAUCCAGUUACUGAUACGGUAGUGCAGAAGAAAUCCCUUUUGAAAAAUAUUAUUAAUCCUAAAGUGACAUUCUCACAAAUGGACAAUCCGAAGGUAAUAACAAAGUAUACAAGAAACAACAAAGCAUUCAAGCUGAAAACAAGUAUUGUUGAUAAACUAAAUGCAGAGAAAGAAUUGAUGUCUCUAUCCGCGAGCAAAGAAGAUGAGAAAUUAUCGAAUUCAAAUAAAGGCGUUCCUAGAAUAUCACUGUUAAAUGAUCCAUUGAAUGUUAAAAACAUGCCUGAAAUCGAUAUAACUUUAUCGUCUGCAUCGAAUGCGAGUGUUACUCAUACUAUUACAUCGACGAAUCCAGUCGUUCCUAUAACGGAUAAAUCUGUGUUGCUCCUCGUGGUUCCCAAUGGAAAACCUACUGAGCCCGCAAAACAGGUCACGUCGACGAUCGAUCUUAAUCAAGGCAACAAUGAGGGACACCUUAAUUCAUCUCAAAAGGCUAAGAAGAGUUUCCCUAAGUCUAAUUCAAAAAAUAUUCAACAUUCGUCAAAUGCAGAUGGAAUUAUGGAGAUUUCUCCGAUUGGCCAAGAAACUCCAUCCACAUAUCAAGUGACACCUCCGGAGGCCGGACCGAUCAGCGCACGUUUGCAUCAUGAUGCGCAUGAACUUGCGAGAAAAAUGAGCUAUUUAAUGGAAGAGGCGUACAAGGAGGCAGCCCAGAACAGUAUUAAUGGCGAGAACGGUACCAACGAUAAUUAUCAGGCGACCAUACUUUUCCUGCGAAAGCAGAUCGAACAUAUGAAGUGGCAACAUCAGCAGCAGCUAACCGAAUUGAAACACAACGCCGAUCGUACUCAACGUGAGAUGCGCGCGAGUAUGGAAGCGGAGAAAUUGCGAUCGAUUGAGGAAGUUCGUAAAGAGAUCGAAGAUGAAAAGAACCGAUGUAUCGAGGAGACUAAGAAGAAACAAUGGUGUGCCAAAUGUGGACAGGAAGCAAUGUUUUAUUGUUGCUGGAACACUGCUUAUUGUAAUUAUCCGUGCCAAGAGUCACAUUGGCCCACACACAUGCGGACAUGUUCUCAGCAAUCUGCAUAUGCUACUAUUGUCAGUUCAAAUGCAAAUUUAAAUUCACAACAGACUAGUUACGUCAUUGCUGAGAAUUCUGCAACCAAAACGUAUCUUCUAUCAUCCAACAUGAAAUUGAAUGCAAUUCCGUCUGCUUCGUCCGUUAAUAGAGAUAAAACCAGUCAAGAUACGCAGUAGGCAAUUUAUUUGUAAUCGAUUCGAGUAUCAAUGCGAGUAAGAUGAAAAGAGUUUCAAUAAUACUGCAGAUCAAUAUUGACACAUUACGAGAAACAUAAAGUUCCUCUACAGAUAAAAUUGGGAAACACGAGAUAAGAGAUAAAAAUUAUUUUUUCAACAAAGCUUCAUGACGUAAACAGUAAACACAUCUCUGGCAUAGGAUAAUCGACAUUCUCGUGAAGAACAUGCAUAAGCAUUUAUUUCGGUAAAAUUUGACACAUGUAGACACAAAUAUAUUCAAUGCGUUUAUUAAUAAAUCAAGUAAAGAUAC
This is an RNA transcript of Atta colombica, 4686 nucleotides long. It is a transcript of the gene named protein kinase C-binding protein 1, with no coding region annotated. The transcript has 13 exons. The record is from RefSeq and is a predicted model, not a curated record. Lineage: Eukaryota; Metazoa; Arthropoda; Insecta; Hymenoptera; Formicidae.